Long non-coding RNA from Salmo salar (Atlantic salmon), 1725 nucleotides. RefSeq lists it as uncharacterized. NCBI's taxonomy places the organism in Eukaryota, Metazoa, Chordata, Actinopteri, Salmoniformes, Salmonidae. The record is from RefSeq and is a predicted model, not a curated record.
GUAAAAAUGUUUAAGUAAUUAUUGCAUGUUUAAAAAGGUCUGUACUAAAUAUUAUGAAUUAAAUAAAUGGUUUUAAAGCUGUAUCUCACCUUUAACGAAGGGGCUGUGCAUUUUCGAGCCAUCCACAAGCCUGUCCCGGAGACAAAAGGAUUCCUGAAAGACGUGUGCGGGAGUGUAGGUGUGUGUGUUUCAAAACAAAUAGGGGGUGGGGGUGUGUGUCUUUGCAUGGGUGGUUUUUGAAACCAGAAAAAGUGUGUGUGAGUUUGUUAAGGAUUGUGUGUGUGUGUCUCUUCAAUGGGGCUUGGGCACUUUGGAUUUUAUUACCACACAAGCCUUUCAAAUGCGUAUUUAUCUCACCCCCAAGGAUGUGGGGGCUAAAAAGUCAAACAGUCCAGGCAGAAUAUAUCUUGUCUAGACAACCUCCUACGGUUUAAAACAUAUGUUAUUUCUAAUCAGCGCAAAUACUAACGGUCCCCCCACCCCGGGAUAUACAUUUACACCCCCAAGCGGUGCUAUGAAGCAUAAACGCAAUACCGGCAGACAGAAUAUGUCGAGACACCCGCCUGUGGUUUUGGGGUCUCUAGACAUACGUGGGUACUUUAUAUGACCCUUUUAUGCAUACAGGAUGUCGCCCGAAAAAACGGCACCCCCGCUCCGUAAGCUCAUUACAGAAUAUUUCUCGUUAGAGACGACCUCGGAGCGAGGCUAGGGAAACAGAUACUGGCCAUUCUGUACGACAGACUAAAGCGCAACUCCAGACAUCUGACCAACAGCCCCGAAGAGUUAUCACCACCGGACAGCUAAAAGAUAAUCUGUGAAUCCAUCCUAAUGGAGCUUUCUCAAGGAUCUCAGUCCUUUACACAGCUGCUCCGGGAAUAGAUGAUUGGGAACAGCCUUCGUUAGAGGGGGUUUCAGUGGAGCAAAACGCGUGCAGCCAGUCCCCAUCACACUAUUGUCGACCUGACAGACCCCAAAGAAGGAUCACGGAUGCUUCAUGUACUCUGAACGAUGACAUAGAUGCUAUUCUCCCAUUCUGUACGAACGGCUUUACCCUAACUCCCCCGGGAACCAAGCUCCAUAUUUCAGACCCAAACAAGCAACGCACAACUUGUGCGCAAGUGCAUUGCGCAGAAUCACCCCGGCCCGAAAAGUUACUGCUUCAAGAAACGGCGCUACAUGGACAAGACUCCAACGAGAGAUGUCCGGCAGAAUCAGGAAGGCCUGGUGAAAAAAAGUCUAGAACCCACGGUUUCCGCGAUUCGUCAGAACAGCCCGCGUCAAAAAAGCAGAGACUCCUCCCCGGCGUAACGGCACAGAAGACCAUACACCCCGAGAGCACGCAGAGGGUUUCGGCGCGCCGGACAUUCCCAAUAAAACCGGAUGAUUUCACCGUUUUAAAUGACAUUCCCGAGGUAGACGACUUGCUCCUCUGUGAUGCUGCCAACCUUCUUGAUUCCUCCUAUUCUUAUGUAGAAACACCCAACCUGAAAUAGAACAAGCUAGGUUUAUUACUGCCUUUUCCAGGGCUCUAAAAUCCAGAAAUGUCUUGCUCCACAAAUGAAUGGUGGAUUUACUCGAGUGGCAAUACAGUCAGGAUCUUGUAACGGUUGUCGUCGGGAAUAGAGGACCAAAACGCAGCAGGAAUGUGGAUGCUCAUCUUGUAUUUAUUUUUAAAUAAAGAAAACACCAAAAACGAAGAGCUCACGAACAACAAAACAGUCUUGU